This 460-nucleotide ribosomal RNA is filed under the name uncultured bacterium. Its description in RNAcentral is "partial 16S ribosomal RNA". It matches the Rfam family "Bacterial small subunit ribosomal RNA", at positions 338 to 795 of the family's 1533-position model. The record is from RNAcentral.
CCUACGGGCGGCAGCAGUGAGGAAUAUUGGUCAAUGGGCUUACGCCUGAACCAGCCAAGUCGCGUGAGGGAAGACUGCCCUAUGGGUUGUAAACCUCUUUUGUCAGGGAGCAAUUGGCGCUACGUGUAGCGUUAUCGAGAGUACCUGAAGAAAAAGCAUCGGCUAACUCCGUGCCAGCAGCCGCGGUAAUACGGAGGAUGCGAGCGUUAUCCGGAUUUAUUGGGUUUAAAGGGUGCGUAGGCGGAAUGCCAAGUCAGCGGUAAAAUCGCGGGGCUCAACCUCGCUCCGCCGUUGAAACUGGCGGUCUUGAGUGGGCGAGAAGUAUGCGGAAUGCGUGGUGUAGCGGUGAAAUGCAUAGAUAGCACGCAGAACGCCGAGUGCGAAGGCAGCAUACCGGCGCCCAACUGACGCUGAAGCACGAAAGCGUGGGUAUCGAACAGGAUUAGAUACCCUGGUAGUC